RNAcentral lists this long non-coding RNA (329 nucleotides) under Chrysemys picta bellii (western painted turtle). RNAcentral describes it as "lncRNA (ENSCPBG00000009217.1)". The record is from RNAcentral. Lineage: Eukaryota; Metazoa; Chordata; Testudines; Emydidae.
AUGGUGCCUAGCGCAGGUGCUUGCUCUAGGGGCACAAGGCCAAAGGAAGAUGUGGCUUUGUUUUCACAGUGUGUCCCCUGGAGCCGGAGAGUGGAGAGGUGGAGUAUACAGUUGUCAACAUCAAGAAAAGAAGUGGGGAUAAACCCAAGGGAACUCUGCCAAGGGACAACGAGGAAUACUAUGUCAGCUACUCUGUGUUGCCGGACCCCAAGCCCACCUGGGAGUCAGCCGCAGGAGCGAGGGCUCCAGAAGGAAAAUCCCUACCGGACAGUGACCUUUAUGAAAAUGUUCCCCACCUGUGACCUGCGAGUGACCCCAGCCCAUCCCCU